GCAGUUGGCUGUUCCAUCGUUCCGGCUUAUGCCGGAAAGGAAAGUCCGGACAACACAGGGCACCAUCCUUCCUAACAGGAAGAUAUCCGUGAGGGUAUAGAAGUGUAACAGAAAAUAACCGUCCGUUUAACGGUUAAUGCCGUCAGACGGGAAGGGUGAAAAGGCGAGGUAAGAGCUCACCGGUUCCGGUGGUGACACCGGAAGCCGUACACCUGAUGGGUUGAAAGAUCAAGUAUACCGGCGCUGAGGACUGCCCGUCCGAUGCCGGGGGGUGGAUCGUAUGACUCUGCAAGCAAUUGCAGAGCAAGAUAAAUGAUGGAAAUGGUUCAAAUAUCUCUUGCAGAUGACUGAACCAGACAGAAUCCGGCUUACAGGCCAACUGCAUAU
Molecule: RNase P RNA, 387 nt
Filed under: Bacteroidales bacterium
Lineage: Bacteria; Pseudomonadati; Bacteroidota; Bacteroidia; Bacteroidales
Description: RNase P RNA component class A
Rfam family: Bacterial RNase P class A
About the family: Ribonuclease P (RNase P) is a ubiquitous endoribonuclease, found in archaea, bacteria and eukarya as well as chloroplasts and mitochondria. Its best characterised activity is the generation of mature 5'-ends of tRNAs by cleaving the 5'-leader elements of precursor-tRNAs. Cellular RNase Ps are ribonucleoproteins.
Source: RNAcentral